This 740-nucleotide ribosomal RNA is filed under the name Odobenus rosmarus divergens (Pacific walrus). RNAcentral's name for it is "partial 16S ribosomal RNA". It matches the Rfam family "Bacterial large subunit ribosomal RNA", at positions 1807 to 2853 of the family's 2925-position model. Lineage: Eukaryota; Metazoa; Chordata; Mammalia; Carnivora; Odobenidae. The record is from RNAcentral.
CCAAAAACAUCACCUCUAGCAUUACUAGUAUUAGAGGCACUGCCUGCCCAGUGACACGAGUUAAACGGCCGCGGUAUUCUGACCGUGCAAAGGUAGCAUAAUCAUUUGUUCUAUAAAUAAGGACUUGUAUGAAUGGCCACACGAGGGUUUUACUGUCUCUUACUUCCAAUCGGUGAAAUUGACCUUCCCGUGAAGAGGCGGGAAUAUAACAAUAAGACGAGAAGACCCUAUGGAGCUUUAAUUAACUAACCCAAUAGAAUCUACUCAAUUAACCAACAUGGGACAAAGUAAUUCUACAGUGGGACAGCAAUUUAGGUUGGGGCGACCUCGGAGUAUAACACAACCCCCGAGUGAUAUAAAUCUAGACAUACCUGUCAAAACGAACUAUCAUAAAUUGAUCCAAAAAUUUUUGAUCAACGGAACAAGUUACCCUAGGGAUAACAGCGCAAUCCUAUUCAAGAGUUCAUAUCGACAAUAGGGUUUACGACCUCGAUGUUGGAUCAGGACAUCCCAAUGGUGCAGCAGCUAUUAAAGGUUCGUUUGUUCAACGAUUAAAGUCCUACGUGAUCUGAGUUCAGACCGGAGUAAUCCAGGUCGGUUUCUAUCUAUUAACCAGUCUCUCCCAGUACGAAAGGACAAGAGAGACAAGGCCCACUUCGACGAAGCGCCUUAGGACUAAUAUAUGACAUAAUCUUAAUAUAACCAGUUCAACUACACUAUUCAACCCGAGAACAGGGUUU